This is a non-coding RNA of Ictidomys tridecemlineatus (thirteen-lined ground squirrel), 2870 nucleotides long. The record is from RefSeq and is a predicted model, not a curated record. NCBI's taxonomy places the organism in Eukaryota, Metazoa, Chordata, Mammalia, Rodentia, Sciuridae.
CCUGCGGAGAGGAGGACGGGCACCAUCACCACCAGCAGCCUCCUCCUCCUCCUCCCCAGCAUCACCAGCCGAACCUGCCUGCCCAGCCCAAUGGACUCCUGCCAGCCCAUCGCAGAGUUCUUGGCGCACCAAUGACUCGGGGACAAUCACUACUUAUUUCUAUCAAUAGAAAGUGUUGUGUCAAUAACGCAGCCAAGAUCUCGCCAAUCGUUAACUUCCAAGAGGAGAAGGUAAACUAGAUAAUUGCUCAAUUCGCUUCCAACAGUCAACAGGAAAACUUUUUUUUUUCUCUGCAGUCAGUGACUACUUUUCAUUGGUGAGCGAAGUUCCUCCGCCCAGAAGAGGCGGGGGCGCUCUCUGCAUUGCGCCGCGCCCUCCCCUUCGCUCGCGCACUCGCUGGUGCACACUUUGCUACCCUCCAGCCACCCCCUCCCCCUUACUUCCUCCGUCUUUUUAAUUCUCAAUCUGCUUAACCAGGCUUUAGAGGCCAAGCAAAUCUGAGAUCAAUUUUCUCGUUUAGCUCUAAGUGACAUCAUCUAAAAUCAUUGUGCAAGGGCUAAAUAAGGAAACAGUCUAAUUUCAGGGGCAAAUGCCAGGCUAUAUUUAUCAAACGCCAGGCUUCAGAAAGCCUUGGCCAGGAAGUCUUUGGCAGAGAAAUCUGACGUUUCCUUGCUUGGUUCCGCUGGACCGUGAUCGGGGCCGUGUCGCCUCUUCCACAGUCCUCUUUCUUCCUCCAGGUCUGGGGGUGGCACUCUCUCGGCAUCCCAGAGUCUCCAAGGCCCGAACCGAGUCUGGACCAUUUGGAAGAAGCCAGCAGGCCUAUGAGGCGCGUCCCUCCGGACUGGGAGGCUACAAGUCAGGGCCGGACUUGAUGGAAAAAAGAACUUUAUAAACAAGGAAUCCAAUCUCUCCAACAUGUUCGUAGGAGCUGCUUAAAAGUCAAGCAACAAAAACCAGCAAAGUUUUGACUGUAAUUUACAACGGCGUUAUUGGAAACUGGGAGGUGAACAAUUAGAAGAUAACCCACCUACCCCCAAUUGGGUAGUUUGCUCCACACAUGAUAACUUUCCUACAACGAUAGGAAAAGCUGGUCAGUGCGACUGGCAGAUUAAGGUUUCGAAGCAGUCCCGGACAAUUUUUAAAACUUACCUAGUGGUCACAAAUAAAAACCAUAUUCAACACACAGUGCGAUUCUUUCCUUGAUACUACGCACGAGGUUUAAAAGUUUCGUGUUAUUUUCAAACUUUCUUAAACGAUCCCAUGAAAUAAAAGUCGAAAAUAGAAAUUCAAACAAUAUGGAGCAAAGAAUGAACUUACAGGAAGAGGGAAGCAAAUAGAGGUAAAUCGAAAAUCCUUGAGCCAGAAAUCUCCAAAGAGCUAUUUGUAAAUUCAGUUACCUCCUGAACUCCAGCCAAUAGUCUCUUCGGCUCUGGAGCGCCCCGCGCGUACCGGUUGUCCUCCGCCGCCUCCGCUUCCAUCAUCGCUCGGCCUCGGCGGCCCCAAGUCCUGCCUGCCCGGGGGACUGCUUGCGUGCUGCCGGCGGAGGAGCAGAGGCGCCCCGCCUCAUUCAGGAUUUGGUUGCCGGAGCCGAGCCAUUUAAUAGAAGCCUGCCGUGAAACAAAAAAGUCGAAAAAUCUCCCCGGUCGAGCUCUCCAUCUCUUGGUUCUGGCUUGCCGGUCCCAAGCAGUUAAAAUGAUGUUGGCCAGGCUGAGGGCGAUCAAGCUCUGUGCGACUGCUGGGUGGAGUAGCUGGAGAGAGGCUUGGAAGGGACUGGGAAGCUAGGGCGCAACUCCUGGGUAGUCGCCUGCUGGACUUCUCCGCCCGCCUGUUGCACUGCGCGCUUCAGGUCCAGCUAGUCAGCCUGGCCGAGACUUCCAGUUGCCCGGCAGCCGAGGUCAGUCACCGUGGCACUGGGGGCGCAUCAGCUCCGGAAGCCCCAAGCCUUCCGGCCUGUCACUGCCCUACGGCCUUUCCCCGGCGUGAUUGCGCUCCUCCCUCCUCCCUCUGCAACCCCGCGGGUCCUGGGGCCGCUCCAUACCCCCAGUCUGGGAAAAGGCCCGGCACUCCAAAGUUUCGGGAGGGGGCGCCGAUCUGGUUUAAGAGACCAAGUAACAGAUGGAGGAGAACUCGUGUUUGAAAAGUUUUUGAACAGAACAUUCAUUCGCUCGAUUGGACGUCUCCGGAUGUAACCGAAGGGUCAUUUAAUCUGGAUGUCAGGUGAAAGCAAGGCCUGGCAGUGUGGCGCACCUCAAAAGCAAUGAGAACAUCUUUUUAUCGUAUCUGUUUGCCAUAUUCUAAAACUAAUUUCAAAGAAGGGGUUGAACUGAGUAUGCCCUCCAAAAACAUUUCACGUCCAUUGUGUUAUGUGUCUUGUGUCCCGCCCACCUUGUGUCCCUGCAAAUCUUUUCUCAGAAACCCUUUGACCAUGGCUUAGUAGUUGGUGUCUCCUAUGGUCCUUGGGAGAGAGUUUCCUAAUUACAUUAUUCCAUAGAAGACCCGUCUCCAUAAGGAAACCUUAGGGUCUUGGUCCCACCCUCCAAUUUGUCCUGGCGUUCCCAUUUCCGAGUUCUGUGGGUCAAUUCCUGCCCUCUCCGGAAGAGGAGAUGAGACUGAGGUCCACCGAGGGCAAAAACCCGAAGCCACAUCCGACCUACUUCCAGUAGCCCCUGAGGCGAAGGAAGCAACCAGGAUGGCCAGCGCCUGGUGGGUGAAUGUCCUUCUGCUGUCCCCACUUGGGGCAUUUAGGCCUCUCCCUGACCCCAUCCUAUACUCGCAGUGUGUAGGCUUCAAGGGUUCAACAUCCACGCUAAGAAAAUCCCAAUAAGACCGAGGCUUGGUCCAUCAUUAAGAAAUCUUACUAAUGUUUCAAA